CAUGUCCCUCAGCUCCCAUCCCCUCCUUCUUCCCUGCCCUGAGAGCCAUCCGGGUUUCCUUUCCAGUCUCCCUCUGCUCCUGUGCUUUCUUCCCCUUCCCUCACUUCCCCUGCUCUGUCUUCUCCUCAGUUCCCCGCCCUCCCUCUCUGCACCUGCCCAGUUUCCCCCAUCUCCCCUCCAUGCUCCCUUCCUCCCCAGCUCCUGAGUUGGACCACCUCAGCUCAGCGCCCUACUUCCUGUGCCUGCCCCUGCCUGCUGCCCACCAUCCCUGCACACAGCUCACUCCUCCCUCUGGCCCUCCUGCUGAGCAGGCGGCUCCCCCACUGCCCUGGGCCUGCCCACCUUCCCCAGCCCCCGCAGUCAAGGCUCUCCAACUCCACACCACCGGGGUGAGGGCAGAGAGGCACCCUCUCCAGGGCUGCGCUUCCUCCAGCAGGGCCUGUGUCCUCACCUCCAACGUGAAGAUCAGGCUGGGCCAUUAUUGCAGAGCUGUGCUGAGUGUUGAAGAAGGUGCGUGUCACGCGUUAUUAUAGGUAGCUGGUGUUUCCUGAGCGUUUGGAAACGACGCUUUGUAAAAUACUGUGAACUAACCGCAGAGCUGGGCACAGCAUGCUUCAUGAUCUCAUUUUAUACUGACGUGUUUAGUCAUCGUGCUGUCAAGUAUUCUCCAGCCACAUCAUUUGUUAGUAGUUUGACCUGCAUAGGAGGGCACUGUCACCCUCCCUCCUGCUGUGCUGAUUUCAGCUGGAGCCGCCAGGCCAGGCCGCCUCACGCGCCCCCUGCUGACUAACCCGGGAACUGCCCGCAGCCUGCUCUGAGCUUUCUGAUGUGGGCGGGACCGGGCCGGGCAGGGCCAGGCGCCUGCGGGGAGGGGCGGGGCCCGGCGACUGAGGGGAGGGGCGGGGCCAGGCGCCUGCGGGAGGAGACCUGGUCCAGGAUCAAGGAGUCGCUCAGUGCAGGACCGGCCCAGAGUUCACAUCCCUGGCUUGAUCUACAGGUAAAUUUUUUUUGUAUACUUUAAGUUCUAGGGUACAGGUGCACAACGUGCAGGUUUGUUACAUAGGUAUACAUGUGCCAUGUUGGCUUGCUGCACCCAUAAACUCGUCAUUUACAUUAGGUAUUUCUCCUAAUGCUUUCCCUCCCCCACUCCCCCACCUCCCCUACUGGCCCUGGUGUGUGAUGUUCCCCGCCCUGUGUCCAAGUGUUCUCAUUGUUCAGUUCCCACUUAUGAGUGAGAACAUGCGGUGUUUGGUUUUCUGUCCUUGUGAUAGUUUGCUGAGAAAGAUGGUUUCCAGUUUAAUCCAUGUCCCUGCAAUGGACAUGAAUUCAUCUUUUUUAUGGCUGCAUAGUAUUCCGUGGUGUAUAUAUGCCACAUUUUCUUAAUCUACUCUGUUAUUGAUGGACAUUUGGGUUGGUUCCAAGUCUUUGCUAUUGUGAAUAGUGCCGCAAUAAACAUAUGG
RNAcentral lists this long non-coding RNA (1460 nucleotides) under Homo sapiens (human). Its description in RNAcentral is "HSALNT0238641". Lineage: Eukaryota; Metazoa; Chordata; Mammalia; Primates; Hominidae. The record is from RNAcentral.